AAGCAAUCUAAACAUCACAAUUCACAACGUCUCAUGAAUAAUGCAUUAUUUUAUUAAUACUGAAAACAAGAAGAAUACAAAACCAACUCGAACAAUCCAACAAUAUAAUAUCAAGCCAACAUAGUAAAGAAAUCCCAAUGGAUUAAAUCAAUCUAGCUAAUCAUGUUCAUUCUUAAAAUAUACAAGAAUUCAAUUACAACAAUAAGCAAAGGUAGAGAAAACCCGAUUACACCCUCGGAUGAGAGUAAACAGCCCCAAAUCCUUUUGCUCCAAUUGAAUCGAUUCUUGUUCCUCUUGCUCGAUUUGAAAAUCAAUCAACGAACCUAGCCUAAUCUUCGAUCCUUCAAGGAAAUCCGAUUGAAACCUUGAUCCAAGUCUCCUUUUCCCUUGGUCUUAGCUCAGAAAACCCUUAGGGAGAGAAAAAUUAGGGUUUUGGGACGUUCUAACCCUAGCCUCUUCUUUUUCUCUUCUUUUCGUUCUUUUAAUUAAUACCCCCUGUCGCCUCCAACACGGCCGUGUUCCUGGCCGUGUUCUCAACACGGGAUGGUGUUCCUGGACGUGUUACUCUCUGUGGCCGUGCUCCCUAGAAUCUACUUCUUCUUUGAUGUCUAACACGGCCGUGUUUGUCCCCGUGUUGGUAACACGGCCCAUGUUUGUGACCGUGUUGAGAACACGGCCAGUGUUGAGAUCAACACGGCCAUGUUCAGCUUCCUCAUGCUCGUACUUAGCUCGUUUCGGCAGCUUUGACGUCCAAUUAUGCUCCAAUUCUUUCCUU
Molecule: long non-coding RNA, 775 nt
Filed under: Ricinus communis (castor bean)
Lineage: Eukaryota; Viridiplantae; Streptophyta; Magnoliopsida; Malpighiales; Euphorbiaceae
Description: long non-coding RNA (RCOM_LNC000776)
Source: RNAcentral